This 1029-nucleotide ribosomal RNA is filed under the name Triticum aestivum (bread wheat). Its description in RNAcentral is "partial small subunit ribosomal RNA". Lineage: Eukaryota; Viridiplantae; Streptophyta; Magnoliopsida; Poales; Poaceae. The record is from RNAcentral.
AUGGUCCGGCGAGGGGGAGAGCUCGGGGGACAGGUUGCCGGAGUUGAAGCGGUAGAGGCUGAAGGAGCGCAGGCGCUCCAGCACGGACGGCGCGCGCGCCAGCGGCGCCGGCCUGUAUGGAGGCACGUACUCCUCGCGGUAGUACUGCUCCUCCUCCGGCUCCUGCUCCGGCGGCGGUGUCGUGAAGCUGUUGUAGUUGUCGGUGAACUCGGUGUCCGCCCUCGCGGCGUGCUCUACGAGGUCGUCGUCGUGCUCCUCCUCCUCCAGCACGGCCGGCUGGACCACCCGAGCCGCCGGCGCCGGGGCCACCUCGGCCCUCCUCGCCUCGGAGCUGGACCUCUUCAUCUUCGACGGCGGCGCCCGCCUCCUCUCCACCCGCGCCGGGGGCUCGGACCGGCUCCUGGCGUGGUGGGCGUCUCCGGCCGUCGGCGCUGGUUCCGGUUCCGGAGAGGCCGUCACAUCCCGCGAGUCGGUCACGGCGCCCGCGGCGUACUCGGGCGGGAAGUCGCCGGAGCGGAAGCGGUAGAGGCCGAUGGAGCGGAGGCGGUCGAGCACCGACGAGGUGCGCGUCAGCGGCGCCGGCGCCGGCGGCGGGGGCACGUACUGCUGCUGCUGCUGCUCGUGCUGCUGGUCGCGGUAGUACAGAUCCUCCUGAUGCUGCUGCUGCGGCUCCACGUGGUGGAGCGGUUCUUGUUGGUGGUCGCCGUCGUGGCCGCCCUGGCGUCGGCGCUGGUGGGAGCGGGAGGUGAGCAGGAUGGUGCCGAUGACGAGGUUGACGGUGAGGAAGAGCGUGGCCGGCGUGAAGAAGCCCUGCACAGCCUCCCACGCGCCGAGCGCCGCGGCCGUCGCGCCGCCGUCCAUCUGCGCGGGCACCGGCAAGUACAGGGAGGGAGCGAGGGGCCGGCUUGGGGCCUGGCCGUGCGCGGUUGGAGCUGUUGUUGGGUGGGCCGAGGAGGUGGUGGGGAUUGGCGCUUGAUGACGGGGUGGGGUGCGGGGAGUCUCACAAGUGGUGGUGGCGCCGGGCGUUAA